AAGAGGAGGUUGUCAGUCUGGAGUCUGAAGGCUUUUAUUCAACAAGGAGGCACUUAGAGGGAAUGCCUGGACCCUGAGAGGACUAAGACGAUAAUUGAGGCCACCCUGAAGCAGUUCCCAGGCCAGACACUCACUCCAGAUUGCUGGGCCAGGCAAUAAAUGCCAAAGUGGCAGAAUUGAGGUUCCAUAA
Alosa alosa (allis shad) is the source of this 190-nucleotide long non-coding RNA. RefSeq lists it as uncharacterized. The record is from RefSeq and is a predicted model, not a curated record. NCBI's taxonomy places the organism in Eukaryota, Metazoa, Chordata, Actinopteri, Clupeiformes, Clupeidae. The transcript is spliced from 3 exons.